AGUGAACGCUGGCGGUAGGCCUAACACAUGCAAGUCGAACGGCAGCACAGUAAGAGCUUGCUCUUACGGGUGGCGAGUGGCGGACGGGUGAGGAAUACAUCGCAAUCUACUUUUUCGUGGGGGAUAACGUAGGGAAACUUACGCUAAUACCGCAUACGACCUACGGGUGAAAGCAGGGGAUCUUCGGACCUUGCGCGAUUGAAUGAGCCGAUGUCGGAUUAGCUAGUUGGCGGGGUAAAGGCCCACCAAGGCGACGAUCCGUAGCUGGUCUGAGAGGAUGAUCAGCCACACUGGAACUGAGACACGGUCCAGACUCCUACGGGAGGCAGCAGUGGGGAAUAUUGGACAAUGGGCGCAAGCCUGAUCCAGCCAUACCGCGUGGGUGAAGAAGGCCUUCGGGUUGUAAAGCCCUUUUGUUGGGAAAGAAAAGCAGCAGGUUAAUACCCCGCUGUUCUGACGGUACCCAAAGAAUAAGCACCGGCUAACUUCGUG
This 492-nucleotide ribosomal RNA is filed under the name uncultured bacterium. RNAcentral's name for it is "partial 16S ribosomal RNA". It matches the Rfam family "Bacterial small subunit ribosomal RNA", at positions 29 to 507 of the family's 1533-position model. The record is from RNAcentral.